This 529-nucleotide ribosomal RNA is filed under the name uncultured bacterium. RNAcentral describes it as "bacterial SSU rRNA". It matches the Rfam family "Bacterial small subunit ribosomal RNA", at positions 777 to 1304 of the family's 1533-position model. The record is from RNAcentral.
AAUAGAUACCCAGGUAGUCCACGCCGUAAACGAUGAGUGCUAAGUGUUAGAGGGUUUCCGCCCUUUAGUGCUGCAGCUAACGCAUUAAGCACUCCGCCUGGGGAGUACGGCCGCAAGGCUGAAACUCAAAGGAAUUGACGGGGGCCCGCACAAGCGGUGGAGCAUGUGGUUUAAUUCGAAGCAACGCGAAGAACCUUACCAGGUCUUGACAUCCUCUGACAACCCUAGAGAUAGGGCUUUCCCCUUCGGGGGACAGAGUGACAGGUGGUGCAUGGUUGUCGUCAGCUCGUGUCGUGAGAUGUUGGGUUAAGUCCCGCAACGAGCGCAACCCUUGAUCUUAGUUGCCAGCAUUCAGUUGGGCACUCUAAGGUGACUGCCGGUGACAAACCGGAGGAAGGUGGGGAUGACGUCAAAUCAUCAUGCCCCUUAUGACCUGGGCUACACACGUGCUACAAUGGAUGGUACAAAGGGCUGCAAACCUGCGAGGGUAAGCGAAUCCCAUAAAGCCAUUCUCAGUUCGGAUUGCAGG